AUGAGUAACAUAUGUUCUUAACCAUAUGAGUGCAUAUGUAAUAUGUGUGUCUUUAACAUUGCAAGUGUAUGGAUAACCUGCAUGUUUUUAACUGUGACAAAAAAUAACGUCCCGUGCGAAUGCACGGGUAACUUACUAGUUAACACUUACACUUAUGCCUUUACAUUAACUAUAAUGAGUUUUUACAUUUUUCAACCCAGACC
This 203-nucleotide long non-coding RNA is filed under the name Lupinus angustifolius (narrow-leaved blue lupine). RNAcentral describes it as "long non-coding RNA (LANG_LNC003671)". The record is from RNAcentral. Lineage: Eukaryota; Viridiplantae; Streptophyta; Magnoliopsida; Fabales; Fabaceae.